ACUUUAUGUGUUGUGAAUGAGGAGUUUAAUGGUAGGGCAUUAAGGUGUGCAUUAGACCUAGUAGCCUAGGUGACCUAUAGGUGUUUGGUGGUGCAUGGGAAGGGCAGCCACCAAGGCAAGCCUAAGCCAAAGGGCCAAGGCUGCCCAAGCUUGGCAGCCACUGCCUAAGAGUUCACGACCACCUUCACGACCAGUGGUGUGGACCACGGUCCGUGAAGGGGUCCUUGAAGAUGACUUAGACACUUGGGAGGCCAGGCCAAGAGGCCAAGACACUGCCACAAGUUCACGAGGCACUUCACGAGCCGUUUACUUGACCACGGCCCGUCAAAGUGCCCGUGAAGGUGCCUUAGCAAAUUAGGGUGGUUGAGGGCCAAAAAG
Molecule: long non-coding RNA, 378 nt
Filed under: Solanum tuberosum (potato)
Lineage: Eukaryota; Viridiplantae; Streptophyta; Magnoliopsida; Solanales; Solanaceae
Description: long non-coding RNA (STUB_LNC011318)
Source: RNAcentral